AUUGCACGCUGGCGGCAGGCUUAACACAUGCAAGUCGAACGAGUGGCGGACGGGUGAGUAAUGCUUGGGAAUCUGGCUUAUGGAGGGGGAUAACGACGGGAAACUGUCGCUAAUACCGCGUACCAUAGGAUGAGCCCAAGUGGGCGUAGGUAGUUGGUGGGGUAAUGGCCUACCAAGCCGACGAUCUCUAGCUGGUCUGAGAGGAUGACCAGCAACACCGGGACUGAGAAACGGGCCGGAGUCCUACGGGAGGCAGCAGGGGGGAAUAUUGCGCAAUGGGGGCAACCUGACGCAGCCAUGCCGCGUGAGUGAAGAAGGCCUUCGGGUUGUAAAGUGCGUUCGGUGACGAGGCGUUAAUCACAGAAGAAGCACCGGCUAACUCCGUGCCAGCCGACGCGGUAAUAC
RNAcentral lists this ribosomal RNA (405 nucleotides) under uncultured bacterium. Its description in RNAcentral is "partial 16S ribosomal RNA". It matches the Rfam family "Bacterial small subunit ribosomal RNA", at positions 29 to 526 of the family's 1533-position model. The record is from RNAcentral.